GGACGCAAGUCUGAUGGAGCAACGCCGCGUGAGUGAAGAAGGCUUUCGGGUCGUAAAACUCUGUUGUUGGAGAAGAAUGGUCGGCAGAGUAACUGUUGUCGGCGUGACGGUAUCCAACCAGAAAGCCACGGCUAACUACGUGCCAGCAGCCGCGGUAAUACGUAGGUGGCAAGCGUUAUCCGGAUUUAUUGGGCGUAAAGCGAGCGCAGGCGGUUUUUUAAGUCUGAUGUGAAAGCCCUCGGCUUAACCGAGGAAGUGCAUCGGAAACUGGGAAACUUGAGUGCAGAAGAGGACAGUGGAACUCCAUGUGUAGCGGUGAAAUGCGUAGAUAUAUGGAAGAACACCAGUGGCGAAGGCGGCUGUCUGGUCUGUAACUGACGCUGAGGCUCGAAAGCAUGGGUAGCGAACAGGAUUAGAUACCCUGGUAGUCCAUGCCGUAAACGAUGAAUGCUAGGUGUUGGAGGGUUUCCGCCCUUCAGUGCUGCAGCUAACGCAUUAAGCAUUCCGCCUGGGGAGUACGACCGCAAGGUUGAAACUCAAAGGAAUUGACGGGGGCCCGCACAAGCGGUGGAGCAUGUGGUUUAAUUCGAAGCAACGCGAAGAACCUUACCAGGUCUUGACAUCUUUUGAUCACCUGAGAGAUCAGGUUUCCC
This 653-nucleotide ribosomal RNA is filed under the name Lacticaseibacillus rhamnosus. RNAcentral's name for it is "bacterial SSU rRNA". It matches the Rfam family "Bacterial small subunit ribosomal RNA", at positions 373 to 1017 of the family's 1533-position model. Lineage: Bacteria; Bacillati; Bacillota; Bacilli; Lactobacillales; Lactobacillaceae. The record is from RNAcentral.